Molecule: long non-coding RNA, 218 nt
Filed under: Lathyrus oleraceus (garden pea)
Lineage: Eukaryota; Viridiplantae; Streptophyta; Magnoliopsida; Fabales; Fabaceae
Description: Pisum sativum (pea) long non-coding RNA (PSAT_LNC013968)
Source: RNAcentral
GAAUGAACCUUACUUACAUAAAAGCUUAAUGAAGGAUGAAACUACUGUUCCUUUGCCCUCAAAUUUCAAGUCCCAAAAAGUAAAAUACUAGUAACCCACAGCAUAGUCUCUAUAAAGCUGUUUGUACUUUGGUGUUUAUGCUUAGCAAUCAACUACUACAAGACAAUCUAUCUAAGCUUGGAAACCGGGAUUGAAGUUGAAAAUGAAUGUGUGCAGGC